Molecule: ribosomal RNA, 909 nt
Filed under: uncultured bacterium
Lineage: Bacteria
Description: bacterial SSU rRNA
Rfam family: Bacterial small subunit ribosomal RNA
Source: RNAcentral
AUGCUUAAUACAUGCAAGUCGAACGCGAAAGCCCUUUCGGGGGUUAUUAGAGUGGCGCACGGGUGAGUAACACGUAGGUGACCUACCCUUUGAUGGGGAAUAACUCUUAGAAAUGAGAGCUAAUACCGCAUAAGAUCACUUAAUUUGAAUGUUUAGUGAUGAAAGGUUGCCUCUUUACAAUGCAAUCGUCGAAGGAUGGGCCUGCGCGACAUUAGUUUGUUGGUGGGGUAAUGGCUUACCAAGACUACGAUGUCUAGCCGGUUUGAGAGAAUGAUCGGCCACACUGGGACUGAGACACGGCCCAGACUCCUACGGGAGGCAGCAGUAGGGAAUAUUGCGCAAUGGACGAAAGUCUGACGCAGCAAUACCGCGUGAGUGAGGAAGGUUUUCGGAUUGUAAAGCUCUGUCAGAGUGGAAAAACGGCCAUAGAUCUAAUAGGUCUUUGGUUUGAUGGUACACUCAAAGGAAGCACCGGCUAACUUCGUGCCAGCAGCCGCGGUAAUACGAAGGGUGCAAGCGUUGUUCGGAUUUAUUGGGCGUAAAGCGCGCGCAGGCGGAUUAAUAAGUCAGGUGUGAAAUCUCGGGGCUCAACCUCGAAACUGCGCCUGAAACUGUUAAUCUAGAAUAUUGGAGAGGGAAGUGGAAUUUCGCAUGUAGGAGUAAAAUCCGUAGAGAUGCGAAGGAACACCAGAGGCGAAGGCGGCUUCCUGGCCAAUUAUUGACGCUGAGGCGCGAAAGCGUGGGUAGCGAACAGGAUUAGAUACCCUGGUAGUCCACGCCGUAAACGAUGAGCACUAGAUAUUGGGGGUUGACCCCUUCAGUGUCACAGCUAACGCAUUAAGUGCUCCGCCUGGGGAGUACGGUCGCAAGACUAAAACUCAAAGGAAUUUGACGGGGGCCCGCACAAGC